GACGAACGCUGGCGGCGUGCCUAACACAUGCAAGUCGAACGGAAAGGCCCUGCUUUUGUGGGGUGCCCGAGUGGCGAACGGGUGAGUAACACGUGAGUAACCUGCCCUUGACUUUGGGAUAACUUCAGGAAACUGGGGCUAAUAUCGGAUAGGAUCUCCUGCAGCAUGGUGGGGGUUGGAAAGUUUCGGCGGUUGGGGUUGGACUCGCGGGUUACGAGCUAGCUGGUGGGGUAGUGGCUGACCAAGGGUUUGACGGCUAGCCGGCCUGAGAGGGUGACCGGCCACAAUAGUCCUGAGAGACGGCGCAGACUGCUACAUGGGGCAGCAGUCGGGAGUAUUACACAGUAGGCUGGAGCCAGAGACGAAGGCGCCGCGUGCGGGAAGCCGUCCUUUGGGUUAUGAACAGCUUUCGCUUGUGACGAAGCGGGAGUGACGGUACUGAAUAAAGAAGCACCGGCUAACUACGUG
This 468-nucleotide ribosomal RNA is filed under the name uncultured bacterium. Its description in RNAcentral is "partial 16S ribosomal RNA". It matches the Rfam family "Bacterial small subunit ribosomal RNA", at positions 28 to 507 of the family's 1533-position model. The record is from RNAcentral.